Molecule: long non-coding RNA, 342 nt
Organism: Podarcis raffonei (Aeolian wall lizard)
Lineage: Eukaryota; Metazoa; Chordata; Lepidosauria; Squamata; Lacertidae
Exons: 2
Source: RefSeq, a predicted model, not a curated record
GCCAAACACAGCGGUGGGAGGCCUCGUUAGGGAAAGUGUGCACCUCCGUUCAAGAAAGCUUUGGUGUAAGAACGGACCUCUGGAAUGGAUUAAGUAUGUAACCCGAGGUACCACUGGAAUAGAAUCCUUAGCCCUUGGAUUAGAGUGUAUGUUGUCUCAAGGCUACAGUUAUUUAUUAUUAUCUACCUGUUUUUCAAUUAAAACUUACAUAAUUUCAGGAAAAAAUCAUAUACAGUGAUAGCCAGAUAGCCAACCCCCUACGUUAAAACAACAAAAAAGCAGCAGUAAAAUAACGCCAGUCUUACAUUUCUAAGAUUUAAAAAUAGCAGACCAGACCAAAUU